UACAGAGGGGGCAAGCGUUGUUCGGAAUUACUGGGCGUAAAGGGCGCGUAUGCGGCCUGCUAAGUCAGACGUGAAAUCCCUCGGCUUAACCGGGGAACUGCGUCUGAUACUGGAUGGCUUGAGUUCGGGAGAGGGAUGCGGAAUUCCAGGUGUAGCGGUGAAAUGCGUAGAUAUCUGGAGGAACACCGGUGGCGAAGGCGGCAUCCUGGACCGACACUGACGCUGAGGAGCGAAAGCCAGGGGAGCAAACGGG
Molecule: ribosomal RNA, 253 nt
Filed under: uncultured bacterium
Lineage: Bacteria
Description: partial 16S ribosomal RNA
Rfam family: Bacterial small subunit ribosomal RNA
Source: RNAcentral